UAUCGCGGGAACUACAAUGCCCAAAAUGCGCCAAGGUCGGACGUGCCCGGAGUGGGCGAAAGGAGCGAAGGGGACUCGGCCGCCAUGUUAGGAGUGCUGGGACGAUUCUGCGGAUCCCGGCUGAGGUUUUAGGGAGCUUGCGAGCCGAGUGGUGGUGCAGUGGGGACGAGUCUGUCUACACUGUGAAAGAUGGAAAAUUUCUUUUCCUCCUGAGGGUGUCUGAAGGGUUAAAAAUGCAAUAAUACCUUAUGCUGUUUUUCUCCCUUUUGCACAAUUAUUCUGAAAACAAAACUUGUUACUUCGGGUCAGUAAGGGUAUGCAUUUCACCUCUCUGUUAGUAAUACUACAGGUGAUGAAUGUAUUCUAUCAGGAAAGGCUAAGCAGAGUGAUUAGAAAUGAUAAAAACAUGGUAAAAACAGUCUUUCAGAUGUAUGCAGAUGACAACUUCAAAAACAUAGAAGAAUGGUCUGCCAUGUUUCUGAGAACAAGUCACAAGAUGAAAGGCUUUAUUUCAUUUUUAACAAAAGUAGUAUGUGUUGGUUUCAUUUAUCCAUGCAAUACAAUGGGAAAGACUCAUACAAAUAUUUCUGUUCAGAAAUACUGUCUUUGCAAGUAAUGGUAAGUAUAGGAAAGGGAGCAAAAUGUUUGCUGAUUUCUUUCUGACCUUCAGUAUAACUGUAGAAGUGUUUCACUUUUUUUUUUUAAUGUUUACUUAUUUUUGAGAGAGAGAAUAUGAGCAGGGGAGGGGCAGAGAGAAUGGGAGACAGGAUCGAAAGCACUGACAGCAGAGAGCCCUGCCGCUUAACCGACUGAGUCAGGUGCCCUUAAAUGUUUUACAUUUAACAGAGAAAAUUGGACAGGUUUGCAUUUAGGCUUAGUUUCAAACUCUUAAAUUAUUUUUAGGGGUUGGUGGUUCACUGGUGUGUCUUAUUUUACAAACCUUUAGUGAAUCUUGUUCGUUGUAGAAGAUAUUUCUUUAUAUAAGCAAUAACAUCCUCAAUCUGAGUUACUAUGGAAGACAAAUUUGCAAGGGCAGGGGGCAGAUUGCUUGCAAAUCUUGUAUGUGAGAAACUAGACCUAUAUGAUGCAGUGAUUUCUAUAGUGUAUAAUUUGUCAUAUGUUUAGGUAGUUUGAAGUUUUCCAGGCUUACAUCCAGUGGACAUCUAACCAUAAAGAAAUGAAACAUCUAUUUAAUAUCUUUAAAAAGACUCUGAUUUAACCUUUAACUUUUAGGGGGAAAAAGUCUGCAUCCUUCUUUAGAAAUUUUAUUUACAAAGUUAAUAUUUGAGGAAUUGGACACCAGCUUCUGAAAGAUUAGCCUCAGUGAUCCAGAGAAAGCACUGGGUUAGGUGAACGUUGAAAGGUGCGAUUAGGAAUGCUUGAGGUGGAUAAAGCAACUUAAGUUCUUUUCAUCUCAGAAAAUAAUUAGGAUAUUGAUUUGUGUUAUAAUUAUAGGUAGCUUAUUAAAGAGUAUGGAGUCAUUUGCUCUUAUGGCAGGGUUUUUUUUCAACAGCUUCAAGUGUCAGGAUCACAUAGAGAACUCUAAAAAUAUAUAGCUGAGAACUCUAAAAUAAAAUAAAAAUAUAUAGAGAACUCUAAAAAUAUAAAAUAAAACAGAUAGUUGUCCACUCAUCUGUUGAAUUAUUGUUGAAUUCUGCUAGGUUGGAACCCAUUGUGUAUUUUUAAAACUAUGAGUGAGUGGACAGUGGUAGGGUAGAGUAGUUCUCUACAUCCCAUAUUUGUGUUUAUUGUGGUGCAUUACACUAGUAAUAAUAAAAGUUUUGGCAAAGAUUA
Felis catus (domestic cat) is the source of this 1794-nucleotide long non-coding RNA. RefSeq lists it as uncharacterized. The transcript is spliced from 2 exons. The record is from RefSeq and is a predicted model, not a curated record. Lineage: Eukaryota; Metazoa; Chordata; Mammalia; Carnivora; Felidae.